RNAcentral lists this ribosomal RNA (469 nucleotides) under uncultured bacterium. RNAcentral's name for it is "partial 16S ribosomal RNA". It matches the Rfam family "Bacterial small subunit ribosomal RNA", at positions 27 to 507 of the family's 1533-position model. The record is from RNAcentral.
GGACGAACGCUGGCGGCGUGCUUAACACAUGCAAGUCGAACGGAAAGGCCCUGCUUUUGUGGGGUGCUCGAGUGGCGAACGGGUGAGUAACACGUGAGUAACCUGCCCUUGACUUUGGGAUAACUUCAGGAAACUGGGGCUAAUACCGGAUAGGAGCUCCUGCUGCAUGGUGGGGGUUGGAAAGUUUCGGCGGUUGGGGAUGGACUCGCGGCUUAUCAGCUUGUUGGUGGGGUAGUGGCUUACCAAGGCUUUGACGGGUAGCCGGCCUGAGAGGGUGACCGGCCACAUUGGGACUGAGAUACGGCCCAGACUCCUACGGGAGGCAGCAGUGGGGAAUAUUGCACAAUGGGCGGAAGCCUGAUGCAGCAACGCCGCGUGCGGGAUGACGGCCUUCGGGUUGUAAACCGCUUUCGCCUGUGACGGAGCGUGAGUGACGGUAAUGGGUAAAGAAGCACCGGCUAACUACGUG